This 218-nucleotide long non-coding RNA is filed under the name Elaeis guineensis (African oil palm). RNAcentral describes it as "long non-coding RNA (EGUI_LNC059920)". The record is from RNAcentral. Lineage: Eukaryota; Viridiplantae; Streptophyta; Magnoliopsida; Arecales; Arecaceae.
UACUCCGAACCUCUAUUGCAAGCGAACUUCAUCCGAGCUCCUACAAGAGCCAGACUCCGUCCGAACUUCUAUAAUGGACGGGCUCCACCAACCAAAUUUCUAUUCCGAACUUCUUUCGAACUUCAUCAAUGAUCGAGCUUCUCCAGCAGUGGGACUUCUACAAUAAGAAGUCUCCAUCUGAGCUUCCACGACAACUGGUCUUCAUCCAGACUCCUACA